Molecule: ribosomal RNA, 454 nt
Filed under: uncultured bacterium
Lineage: Bacteria
Description: bacterial LSU rRNA
Rfam family: Bacterial large subunit ribosomal RNA
Source: RNAcentral
GUGCAUGUGGUGGAUGCCUUGGCGAUUACAGGCGACGAAGGACGUACAAGCCUGCGAAAAGCUCUGGGGAGCUGGCAAUGAAGCUUUGAUCCAGAGAUGUCCGAAUGGGGAAACCCACUCCGCAAGGAGUAUCCCACGCUGAAUACAUAGGCGUGCGGAAGCGAACCCGGCGAACUGAAACAUCUAAGUAGCCGGAGGAAAAGAAAUCAACCGAGAUUCCCAAAGUAGUGGCGAGCGAAAUGGGGACCAGCCUGCAAGUGAUAGCGAUUGCGUUAGCGGAAGUCUCUGGAAAGUGGCGCCGUAGUGGGUGAAAGCCCCGUAGCGAAAACCCGAUCGUGGUACUAAGUUUGCGACAAGUAGGGCGGGGCACGAGAAAUCCUGUCUGAACAUGGGGGGCCCAUCCUCCAAGGCUAAAUACUCGUAAUCGACCGAUAGUGCACCAGUACCGUGAGGG